Molecule: long non-coding RNA, 1494 nt
Organism: Acanthopagrus latus (yellowfin seabream)
Lineage: Eukaryota; Metazoa; Chordata; Actinopteri; Spariformes; Sparidae
Exons: 2
Source: RefSeq, a predicted model, not a curated record
GUGAAAUUAUCAUCUCGCAGCUGGCAUGCUCCCAUGAAAUGAGGUCAGAUGGCAACAGGGUGCCCUCUUGGGAUACAGUGUUUUGAAUUCCCCCAGUGAGCUGGCUUGGCCCACUCUCUGUCCUGGAUUGUGUAAACACUGUGGUUUUUUCCACUCAGACUAGAACAAACAUCUGACCAUCAGUCCAGCGUUGCUGCCGGGGCUUCCUGGCAGACCACUUCAUCUCCCUCCACUUUGGGCAGAGGAGCUUGUGUCGUCGGUCAUGUCUGUUAUGUGCAUAAGUGUCCCAUUUCCAGCUGACUGGAGUUAACCCAACGGCUGUCACAGAGCAGCGCCAGCCUCUUGUAAUACCACACUCAGCCUGCCUGCCUGAAGGUAUAAACCUACCUGGACUGAAUUAAUCUACUGACAAGGACAAACGAACAUAUAUGCAUUUAGCAAGGCAGUUAUAUGAUACAACACCUGCUUUAAUCACGUGGAUCGGUAUGUGUCAGUUUUAAAUUAAAAGUAUCGCUCCUACACAUGCACCCAUAUUCAUAUUCGCAUGAACCGUCACUGCCAAGUCCUUAAUUCUGCAGUAACCGAUACAUUCCUUUGCCAUGUGUGAGGAGGUUCUUCAUCUGUCAAUUGACUGAUAGGGACUCUCGAAGAGGAAACAACCGAGUGUCCCUCACAUCUGGGCUGGAUUUCCUACAGCGGGCCAACACCAGAUAACGUCUGGUCAAUUUGCUUCUGGUCCAAAAGCCUGGACUUUAUUAAGACAUUGUUUAAAAUUUAUAUUUAAGAAUCUCUCUCCUCCUGCUGUCGCCUUCUGCCCAGCGGGAGUGGACUCGGAAAGGUAAAGUGCACAUUCUUGAGGCCCUGAUGUGCACGAGAAAUAAGUACUUUUUUUGGAAUACAAGAGAGAAUAUUUCAGAUUUUUAAGGUAUAUUUAAAUGUAACUAUAAAGACUCUUAUUUCCUUUCUGUGGUGAAUAGAAACCGUGUGGGUGGACAAGAUGUAUAACUGCACACAAUGGUGUGACUGAGUGCAUCACAGAAACACAAGUACCAAAUCUACAUCAAUAUUUAGAGGAGACUUCAGACAGCUUAAGUCAGAAUGAUGACUUGUUUUCUUAUCCAGAAUACUGAAGCUCAUUAGUGGACGAGUAAAUUUAGAUCAUUUGGUUGAGUAAAAGUAACAGUAAGACCGUAAAAAUACUUGAUUUCUUAUUGUAGUCCUGCACUGAAAAUGUUACUCUAACAAAACUACAUAGGUUUUACUCACAAAUUGUACAAAAGUAAAAUAACUGAAUGCAGAGUAGUUAGCCCCUGAGUGUCCUGUCCUGAUUGUUAUGAUAUUAAAUGUAAUAUCACCAGAUGCAUUAACGAUGCGGUAAUGUGCUGAUCAAGGUGGAGCACAUUCGAAUAGUCUUAUUUCCUGUUAGAUUAAAUGUGCACUGUGUAGUUUUGUUUCUCUUGGUUUCACGACUGAAUAAACAAACUGACCUUUAAA